UACGUAGGGUGCAAGCGUUGUCCGGAAUUAUUGGGCGUAAAGAGCUCGUAGGCGGUUUGUCGCGUCUGCUGUGAAAAUCCAGGGCUUAACCCUGGACCUGCAGUGGGUACGGGCAGACUGGAGUGCGGUAGGGGAGAUCGGAAUUCCUGGUGUAGCGGUGAAAUGCGCAGAUAUCAGGAGGAACACCGGUGGCGAAGGCGGUGAUCUGGGCCGACACUGACGCUGUAGAGCGAAAGCGUGGGGAGCGAACAGG
Molecule: ribosomal RNA, 253 nt
Filed under: uncultured bacterium
Lineage: Bacteria
Description: partial 16S ribosomal RNA
Rfam family: Bacterial small subunit ribosomal RNA
Source: RNAcentral